CACCCAUUCAGAUUUCUGUUGGUGUAAAGCGACAUUCCAGCCGCUGAAGCUCCGUGAUCUGCUGUGUUUUCCCAGCCCAGAUCCAAGAGACCUGGAUGCUUUUUGCCAUUCUGAUGGUAAAUGAUGAGACAGGCUACCAUGGAUUUCAGCACCCCUUCUGUGUUUGAUCAGCAAAGAGGUGACUCAUCUGAGGAAGUUGACCUGACCAUGGUUUAUCAAGCAGCCUCUAAUGGAGAUGUCAAUGCUCUGACUGCAGUGAUUCGGGAAGACCCUUCUAUCCUAGAAUGCUGUGACAGUGAAGGAUGCACGCCCUUGAUGCAUGCGGUUUCUGGACGUCAAGUGGACACAG
RNAcentral lists this small RNA (349 nucleotides) under Pongo abelii (Sumatran orangutan). RNAcentral's name for it is "processed transcript". The record is from RNAcentral. Lineage: Eukaryota; Metazoa; Chordata; Mammalia; Primates; Hominidae.